Molecule: ribosomal RNA, 494 nt
Filed under: uncultured bacterium
Lineage: Bacteria
Description: bacterial SSU rRNA
Rfam family: Bacterial small subunit ribosomal RNA
Source: RNAcentral
AAAUGAAUUGACGGGGGCCCGCACAAGCGGAGGAACAUGUGGUUUAAUUCGAUGAUACGCGAGGAACCUUACCCGGGUUUGAAAUGCAAUCGACUGAUUAUGAAAAUAGUUAUCCAGCAAUGGCGAUUGUGUAGGUGCUGCAUGGUUGUCGUCAGCUCGUGCCGUGAGGUGUCGGCUUAAGUGCCAUAACGAGCGCAACCCUUGCCGUUAGUUGCUAACAGUUAAAGCUGAGGACUCUAGCGGGACUGCCAUCGUAAGGUGAAGGAAGGUGGGGAUGACGUCAAAUCAGCACGGCCCUUAUGUCCGGGGCGACACACGUGUUACAAUGAGGGGUACAGCGGGCAGCUACCGGGCGACCGGAUGCUAAUCUCUUAAAACCCUUCUCAGUUCGGAUCGGAGUCUGCAACUCGACUCUGUGAAGCAGGAUUCGCUAGUAAUCGCGCAUCAGCCACGGCGCGGUGAAUACGUUCCCGGGCCUUGCACACACCGCCCGU